This 645-nucleotide ribosomal RNA is filed under the name Enterobacter ludwigii. RNAcentral describes it as "bacterial SSU rRNA". It matches the Rfam family "Bacterial small subunit ribosomal RNA", at positions 230 to 861 of the family's 1533-position model. The record is from RNAcentral. Lineage: Bacteria; Pseudomonadati; Pseudomonadota; Gammaproteobacteria; Enterobacterales; Enterobacteriaceae.
CCCAGAUGGGAUUAGCUAGUAGGUGGGGUCCGGCUCACCUAGGCGACGAUCCCUAGCUGGUCUGAGAGGAUGACCAGCCACACUGGAACUGAGACACGGUCCAGACUCCUACGGGAGGCAGCAGUGGGGAAUAUUGCACAAUGGGCGCAAGCCUGAUGCAGCCAUGCCGCGUGUAUGAAGAAGGCCUUCGGGUUGUAAAGUACUUUCAGCGGGGAGGAAGGUGUUGUGGUUAAUAACCGCAGCAAUUGACGUUACCCGCAGAAGAAGCACCGGCUAACUCCGUGCCAGCAGCCGCGGUAAUACGGAGGGUGCAAGCGUUAAUCGGAAUUACUGGGCGUAAAGCGCACGCAGGCGGUCUGUCAAGUCGGAUGUGAAAUCCCCGGGCUCAACCUGGGAACUGCAUUCGAAACUGGCAGGCUAGAGUCUUGUAGAGGGGGGUAGAAUUCCCAGGUGUAGCGGUGAAAAUGCGUAGAGAUCUGGAGGAAUACCGGUGGCGAAGGCGGCCCCUCUGGACAAAGACUGACGCUCAGGUGCGAAAGCGUGGGGGAGCAAACAGGAUUAGAUACCCCUGGUAGUCCACGCCGCAAACGAUGUCGACUUGGAGGUGGUGCCCCUUGAGGCGUUGGCUUCCGGAGCUAACGCGUU